Molecule: long non-coding RNA, 5283 nt
Filed under: Hordeum vulgare
Lineage: Eukaryota; Viridiplantae; Streptophyta; Magnoliopsida; Poales; Poaceae
Description: long non-coding RNA (HVUL_LNC005575)
Source: RNAcentral
CAACUUUUAUUUACUUUGUGUGUCAUAAUCUCCAACCUUUUGAAAUAUUCUUCGAUCGUGUAAUUGUUGAUUGUAUACCCUAGACUUAGCAGGGAAAGAUAACUCUAAUCAUUCGAAGCACAAUUUGUGUUACAAUGCACAACAGGAAAAUAAUAUAUGACUCAUAGAUACUGAACCAACGGUACUAACGACCAUGAGAAUAUACCUCAUAUGUAACUACACUGCUGGAGCUAGCAUACUAAUGAAGGGUUGGUGUGGAGACAGCGCCUAAUGCUGACAUUAUGCACAAAAUCCCUUGGGCCCUGUUGUGAUAACAACAUUAUUGUGGCUGCAACAUCCUGCAAAAUUAUAAUAGGACAUAUUCAGGCUACAACUGUAAUUGUGGAAGCUUGUAAUAUUGGUAAAAGCAUUCUCAUUCACGGUUCCAAUAUAUGGGAUAAUGUCAUAAUUGAAGAUGUGUGCAUAGGGACUAAUUCCUUAUAUUGUAGUCAUAUUCAUGUGUUGAGCCUGGCUACAGAAUGCAGAUAUAUCAAUAUUUUUCGUCUUGAUGAAACACAGAAUGGGUAGAAGGCUACAAUAUGUUGGACAUAACUGAAUUAACUUUGCAUUGCAAUAUAUCUAAUUUAGUAUUUGUACAAACUGUUAAAGCGUACAAGAAGAGCUAAGCACGAAAACAAAUGCAUGUCGACCAAAUAAGGACAUUAAAUAGUAGAUAUGUUAACCAAGGUAUUAUUUUUUAGUGAGAAAGAAGUGGACAAAAGAUUUCAUUAUUAUUUUACUGUUACCACUUUAAUAGUACAUAUAUGUUAGUUUGUAUGGAAUCAAUAAUAAUUUCUGAUUUAAUUCUUUAGAAAGUUCUGAUUUGUGAAAACUUUUCUAAUUUAUUAAUAGAUGUGCAAUUGAUGGAAAAAGGAAAGAGAUGUGCACCAUACAACAAAAUAUUGUAGAAUUAGAAUAAGUGAGGAUCUGCUAUCGAGUUGUUCUAAUAUAUUCACUAUAAGCAUGUGAACCGUAUAACAAAAUAUUGUAAAAUUGGAAUAUUGUAGAAUUGGAAUGAGCUAUGGUAAAACUUCACAAUACCUAAUAUAUUUACUAUAAGCAUGUGAACGGUAUUGCCAGUCCUAACAAAGAAGCUCAUUACCAAACUCAUCUUUUUGUCGUAACUCAUCUACUUAGGAUAUUGACACCAUGAACUCUGAACAUGUUAAACAUUCUGAAGCCAAUAUGGUAAGGAAUGCAUGGUUUGUAUAUAUGUGUGCUACAAAACCAACUAAUGAAAACUAUAGCAAAAAUUGCCUACCCUUUCAUUUUAGCAUGUUAUAGUGACAGGGAUUGCACAUCACUAUGAACUCUGAAUGUUUUAUUUUUCUGAAGCCAAUAUCGGCAAGAGUGUGCUACAAAUCCAGCUAAUAAUUUUUUUACUGUGCCUAUCAUUUCAUUUUUAGCAUGUUAAAAGGGACAUGGAUGGCACAUCGCUCUGAGAUAGGUAGGCGAGGGGAUUGGGGGAUCGAUGUUCUCACCAGCGAUGGGAGGCUCAGCCGCGACGAAGUCCGACAGGUCGAAUUUGAUUCCCUUGAAGAUGGUGACGAUGGAGGGUGGAAUGGGGCAGGGUUGGGGGUGUGAGACGUAGAUCUGGUGUUGGUGUGGGUUUAGGAGAAGGAGCGGAGGUGGGCGACGCGGUGGGGAUCAACUCUUCUGCCGCCGAGGGAGAGGAAUGGCCUGGCCGCCCCGCCGGGCCACCAGUCCUUGUCCGUGAGAUGCAGCAGUGGCGCGUUGAGGGAUUCCCUGUAGAGGAAGCAGGGCAACGGCGAUGGGUAGUCGACGUGGAAGGGGUGAAGGCGGCCUCGCAGUCGUAGAGCACGGGGCGGAUGUCCGGGAUGUGGGCCCGAAAGCCGUUGGAGAAGCUAUGGCCCUGGUGGUCGACGACAGCCACGCAACUGGACUCGUCGGUGAAGCCACGGUCGACGGCGACGGCACCGAAGACGGGGUCUAGGCACCAAGCGUUGCGUGAGGAUGCGGAGGGGGUGAGAGGGGGCGGCAAUGGGAGGUAACGGCGGAGGCCGGCGACUGCGUGGGUGAUCGCGGAGGCCGUCGGCCGACAGCGAUGCGGGUGAGGGGGAGGAGGAUCAGGGCGACCGCGGGAAGAGCACUUGUGUGCAGUGAUAAAGUUAGGGUUGUGUAGUGUUCUUCUAAUAAGCUAUAGGGAUAACAUUAGGUGAAAUUAUCUAAAAUAAAGUUAGGUAGAAAAUAAUAAUUAAAACAACUCUGUUAGAAGUGAAGUGAACUUUAAUUAUUAAGCAAUUUUAGUCAUGUUAUAUCGUCUCUACGCGUGCAAAUUCAUAUUAUAAUUGUAUAACUCGUAAAGGUAUUUUAAGAACCCGUGGCAACACACGAACGUUCUCCUAGUAGAAGUAAUUGUCUUUGCGUCUUAAAUCUUAUGUAUUACUCCCUCCGUUCGUAAAUAUAAGUUUUUUUAAAAAUUUCACUAAUGGACUACAUACAUAUGUAUAUAUACAUAUUUUAGAAUAUAGAUUCAUUCGUUUUGUUUCGUAUGUAGACCACUAAUGAAAUCUGUUAAAAGACUUAUAUUUAGGAACGAGGGAGUAUAAAAAAAUGCACGCUUAAACCUUGACCGAGGGAGUAACGAAGACUCGAUAAAUGCGAAACUAGCUGGGAUAAAUUAGUACGUACGCUCAAUCAUCAGCGUGUUUGAUCAGUCAAACCUAUCAAAAAUGGACGGCACUCAAACUAGUAGCUGGAGCAUUGUUAAUCAAACUGCUUUGUAAGCACUCGUACUGACGAGUGCAUGCAUGGCCACCACCGAGUUGGACCAGGGGCUUUUAAAGGCUACCAGCCGCAAUGAUCAAUCAGAUAAAUGCGCCAUGAUCAGUCCCCCGAGUACAGCAAAUCAUGCAACACCAAUUCAAUCAUCCAGCACACCAGUAGUACUAGUACGUGAUCCGUAGCAUGCAUGGCUCACUCGCCUCAUACAUACAGUCACAUGACCAUAAUUCUCGCUGGUACUAUUUCCCGGUGAUUGAAUCCAAACACAUGAGCCACAGCAAGCUUGGCCGGUAGCCAUCAGAUUCAGAGGUGGUGAGGAGAGCAAAGCAUGCAGCAGCAGCAGCAGCACAGCAGAGGCCAUGAUACUAACCAACUACACGUACACUACGUACGAGACGCGCGCAGAGGAAAAACUAAACCUGGGUCAACUUCGGCGAACGGCGAGGCGGAGGAGAAGACAAAAGUAUAUUCAUGCGUGACGACACCGACACCGGCCGGGGGCAGCCUUGUGAUCACGGCGAGAGGAGGGGAGGCGAGUGAGCGCAUCAUGACAUGGGACUGAACUGGACGGUGAAAAGGGCCGAGAGAUCGGGUAAAUAAUAUUAAUAAAGCUUGUGCGCGCAGAGUCACUGACACGGGGAGGUGUGGCGGGGCCGGCCGCCCAUGCCUCCCUCUGCGCCGUGUAAUUCAGAGUGGGGUUGCCUGCUUGGUCGUGGUCUUGGUCUUGGUCUUGGUGGACGGAUAGAGGGAUCCCGUCCAGUCCAGUCGAGGCCAGUCCAAGUCCGGCAUCGGGACCUCUGUUUGACCACCACCACCACCACUGUGAUGCCGAGAAUAACACAGCAAAAGUUUGGGGCAUUGGAGUUUGGGGCGUUAAAAGCGCACGCAUCUCGAGAAAUGCUAGAUUUUCAAAAGAUUACUCUGUAUGCUUAAUCCGUGUCAGUGAGAGAUAAUCAGAUGGUGAUUUUCCUACUCCGCGCCAGUGAGAGAGAUGCCACUGGCCAGAUAACUUUGUGCAAUGGGAGAGGGGUUAUGUUUAAUCCGGGCGUGCAAAAGAGGCUGGGCACUUUCCGUGUAAAUAAAAAAUAAAAAGAAGAACAGCCGUCUGAGGUUGUUGGUAACAAGUACUCCUACAGGUGCAGCAAACGGCUCUCUGUUCGUGCUAGCAGUAAUUGUAGCACAGUAACAGCCCAGCUCUGUGGUUUCACUGCGUCGAUGAGACCUUUCGUUGAAGUGGAAACACACGUAAAUUUUCUUUGGGGGGGUUUGGAAAGGGAGUUGUCACGGCCAGAGAAGAGAAGCUGCGCUGUGGAGUCCUGCGCAAGUAGAGAAGAAGAACUAAAAAAGGGCAAGACAUCACGGCGUGCCUGUUAGAUCUCUGCUUACAGUAGCCAAGUCCCCACUGAGAGCGUAGCGUAGCGUAGUGUGUUCUCUUCUCCCAUCACAUCACGCCCAUCUCCUUCCCUCCCCAUCCCCUUCUUCCUCCCUCAGCCCCCCCUCCCCCACUCACUCUCACUCUCACUCUCAGCAGCCGCCGCCCGAACAGGGAUAGACAAGGAAGCACACAUCCAGCGGACCAGCACGGGGCAAUGGAGUACGAGAGGAUUCACAAGGUCCAGGUACGGGCUCCAUCUCCUGAGGCCAGCACAGUGGCUCGCUUGAUCCCACCCACCGAAUUAGGGCCUGCUCUGUUCAUACCCGUUGUUGCCGUUCCUGAUGCUUCAUUUUUCCAGUACAUUUUUUCCUUCCUUUUUUUUCCGAAGAUAUAUAUUUCGUUUUCUGGAUAUAGAUGUGCUUUCUCUGCUCCUCAUUUCCAAGUCUACCAUGUUUUGUUGCGUUUUUAUAGCAGCUUCCAUUCUCCUAUAGGCAGAUCAAAGCCAGUCUCCCUAUUUUGCAAUGAGAAGAUUAUAAAGUUAGUCUCGCUGUCAGACGUCGGAGCCGAGCAAUUUGGGAGCCUUUCUUUUUUAAGAAUCUAGAGUUGGUUAGCGGUUUGUUUAUAAACUGUAGCUCUCUUCAGUUAUCACUUGUUGGGCAAAUCUGUUUUGUCAGUCAGAGUGAAGCUAACUAGUUCAAGUAAAGCGUACUGCUAAAUAUGCAGAAAAACUGUCGUCCCUUCUGCAUAGGCAGUGGAAAUCUAGAAAGAACGCCCAUUUUUCCGAAGAAUUUGGCGUCGGCACUGUUUUAGUACUACUACGUGCUAAAGUGAUGCUGAUUUCACUACCCCCGUGUCCCAGUCAGGAAAUACAAGUGUCAAAUGGUCAAUCCACUGUCACUGUCACAAAUGUCUAAAAAUUUGCAUGACACCAGCACUUCUAAUUUCUUGGAAGUUUACAGAGCUAUAAGCUUCCUACGGUCCUACCUAGAAAUAUUUUGAACAAGAUAUAAUAGAGGUUACCACCUUGAAUCAAGACACUUUAUUAAGUUAUAAUGCUUCCGUAGAUGAAGACUUACCUCUUUGUUCUUCAUGUAGGCAGGCGCCCUUUCUCCCACAAAGCUGAG